AAUCUAUGCACACUGCCAGGUGCCUGCCCUCUCGCUCGAGGGGAAAGGUGAAACGGGAAACAGGUGAAAUGCCUGUGCUGCCCCCGCAACGGUAAGCGAGUAUGGAUGUGCCAUCGACGCCACUGGGCCUUGUGCCUGGGAAGGCGGUGCAUCAAGCCUCGCGAGCCCGGAGACCGGCCUGCCAGUCACGAAGGAA
This 196-nucleotide non-coding RNA is filed under the name Methylovorus glucosotrophus. The record is from RNAcentral. Lineage: Bacteria; Pseudomonadati; Pseudomonadota; Betaproteobacteria; Nitrosomonadales; Methylophilaceae. RNAcentral also lists the same sequence under 1 other name.